GACGAACGCUGGCGGCGUGCCUAAUACAUGCAAGUCGAACGAACUCUGGUAUUGAUUGGUGCUUGCAUCAUGAUUUACAUUUGAGCGAGUGGCGAACUGGUGAGUAACACGUGGGAAACCUGCCCAGAAGCGGGGGACAACACCUGGAAACAGAUGCUAAUACCGCAUAACAACUUGGGCCGCAUGGUCCGAGUUUGAAAGAUGGCUUCGGCUAUC
This 216-nucleotide ribosomal RNA is filed under the name uncultured bacterium. RNAcentral describes it as "partial 16S ribosomal RNA". It matches the Rfam family "Bacterial small subunit ribosomal RNA", at positions 28 to 222 of the family's 1533-position model. The record is from RNAcentral.